Molecule: long non-coding RNA, 2264 nt
Organism: Alexandromys fortis (reed vole)
Lineage: Eukaryota; Metazoa; Chordata; Mammalia; Rodentia; Cricetidae
Exons: 3
Source: RefSeq, a predicted model, not a curated record
UCAGAUAAUCCAUUUUAUUUUCUCCCUUCCUAACAAAAGUUUUAAGGUAAUUUCAAAUAGAUCUUUAGAAUGAUUAUUUGUCAUGAUCAUUGGCACAAAAGAAGCAAGACCAAGGACAAUCAACCUCCUCUUCUAUUUUUUCUGAAAUUAAUAUUCUUAAAUCCAGGCAUAACAGUGGCUCUCAUAAUCUCAGUGUGAGCAGGCAGACACGGGAGAAUGCCUAAAGCUCACUAGCCAGUCAGUCUAGCUAAACUGGCAAGCUCCAGGUUAAAUAAGAGAAGUUUUCUCAAUAAAAAGUAAGGUGGGGAGUGACCGAUGAAGAUGCUUAGUGUCAAGCUCUGACCUCCACAUGCAAAUGCACACACACACACACACACACACACACACACACACACACAAAUAAAAUAUUAGAACAGAACAAAAUAAGUUAAUGUAGUGUCUAUCACUGCUCCUCAGACAUAUUGUACAUAGGGCAAUUUCCUGUUGCUCUAUAGAACUUUGUCCAUCAGAAAUGUCAAUAACUUUCAUCCAAUAAGAACAACCCCCAAAGCCAGUGCUUGCUGGCACAAACUCGGUCUUAUAUGCAAUAAAUUGCUGAGAAGCACCCUGGCUUCUUAAAUGCUCUUUGAAAUGAUCUUAAACUCGUUAGCUCAAGAACGCAGUGAAACACUCUACAGGUAUCCAUUUUAUAUUUUACUAACAGUCACAAUAUUUUCCUUUCCAAAAUUAUACUUUGGCAUAACUUAACUCACUUCGCCUGUGGUCUUUUAUUUGCCAUAUGUAGACAUACACUUUGCUGAGUUGUAAAGAUUAAGAGUCAAGGUGUGUGAAACACUUCACGCAGAACCAUAAGGCUGUGUGUGUGCAGUUAAGUGGGUGUCUCGCACUUGAAACUAGGGCUGUGAUUGAUCAGUCCACCACGGGUAGGCUUCAGCUCCUUCCUACUCGCCUGUAUAAAACAGACUUCGCAAACUUUGCCGGCAAUGACUUUUCAGCUGCUUCAAUCACAUUCUUUAAAAUCCUUCCUGACCUGACUCCAUUCUAAUUAUAUAUCUCCUACCUCAUGGAAACAGUGUGCAGUGGGAACUACAUGUCAGAGUCCAAGCGAGGUGACCUUUGCCACUGGAAGCUUUCCAGGGCUUGUCUCCAGUAGGCCGCAGCAAACAUAAGCUUUUAAACACCUCCAGUACUAUCAGUCACAGGUAUGAUUGAGAGAGUGUGCCUGUGGGUGGAUUUUACAAGAAGAUCUAUCAGCUAAGUGUGCCGGCUCAGAUCAGAAUGUUCUGACUUCUAACAGCUUUUGCCUCUACCAGCGGAUAGCAAAUUCCUCAGAGAGCAAGGACUCUUCCUCCCUUACCUUUAUUUGAAAUAUAUCACUUAUUCUUUGAGAAUUUCAUACACGUGUACAAUAUAUUUUGAUUAUAUUCACCUCCCCCACUCCAACUUUUCCUAGUUCCCUCUUCCCAGAGUCCUCUCCAAACUCCUGAAUCUAAUUAGUGCUGCCCACACGUGUAUGGGUGGAGGGCCAUUGGCUGGAGCACAGUCACCCUAAAGAAACCUGAUUCUGGGGACUGAGGAGAUGGUUCAAUGGUUAAAGUGCUUGUAAGCAUGAGGACUGGAAUUGGGGUCACUAGACUGGAAUUGGGGUCACUAGAACAAUGAUGACUGUGCUUCAAGGCCCUCCUGUAAUAACAGCUUCAGAGAAGAGAAGCAGGUGACUCCCAGAGCAAACUGAUCAGAGAAACCAACCAGAUUAGUGGGCCCUGGGUUUGAGUGAGAAACCCUGAUUCAGUGAAUAAAAUGAAGAGCAAUCUAGGAUGCUAUUACCCCUAUUAUCAAUCUUGGGGCUCAACAUAUACAUAUAUUUAUAUUUACGUUUAUACAAACACACAUGCACCAGCCCAUGCAUAUGCCCCACACACACAAAUGUGCAUACACGUAAGGCACACGUGGAAAAAAGAAUAUUGACUAUCCCCAACCAGUUAUCAGCUAUCAAUAUCUCUUCAAUGAGGGGCGGUACUCAUCUUCCAUUAUCUUUAUAUCACCAAGUAUCCAAAUCGGCAAUGUUUUCCAAAAAGCAGCAGCCAACAGAGGGUUUCUCCAAGCGAGUGUUCUAGGCUAUGGAGCAGUGCAAAGUAUCUUAGUCCAUUGCUAAGAUCAGCCACCAGGAGCAACAGUGAAUGCUAAGGUUGAAACCAAAUAAGAAGUCCAAAUAAACCAGGCAGUUGUGGCUCAUGACUUAAUCCCAGCACUCAGGACGGAGA